RNAcentral lists this ribosomal RNA (409 nucleotides) under uncultured Bacteroidota bacterium. RNAcentral describes it as "bacterial SSU rRNA". It matches the Rfam family "Bacterial small subunit ribosomal RNA", at positions 971 to 1382 of the family's 1533-position model. Lineage: Bacteria; Pseudomonadati; Bacteroidota. The record is from RNAcentral.
UUACCUGGGCUCAAAUGUAUGUUGACGUAUUCUGAAAGGGAUACUUCUUCGGACAAUAUACAAGGUGCUGCAUGGUGUCGUCAGCUCGUGCCGUGAGGUGUCGGGUUAAGUCCCAUAACGAGCGCAACCCCUAUCAUUAGUUGCCAUCAGGUCAAGCUGGGGACUCUAAUGAAACUGCCUACGCAAGUAGUGAGGAAGGUGGGGAUGACGUCAAAUCAUCAUGGCCCUUACGGCCUGGGCUACACACGUGCUACAAUGGCCGGCACAACGGGAAGCGAGUUCGCGAGGACGAGCGGAUCCCUCAAAGCCGGUCGCAGUUCGGAUUGAAGUCUGCAACUCGACUUCAUGAAGCUGGAAUCGCUAGUAAUCGUGGAUCAGCCAAGCCGCGGUGAAUACGUUCCCGGGCCUU